This 253-nucleotide ribosomal RNA is filed under the name uncultured bacterium. RNAcentral describes it as "partial 16S ribosomal RNA". It matches the Rfam family "Bacterial small subunit ribosomal RNA", at positions 524 to 776 of the family's 1533-position model. The record is from RNAcentral.
UACGGAGGAUGCAAGCGUUAUCCGGAAUGAUUGGGCGUAAAGCGUCCGCAGGUGGCAAUGUAAGUCUGCUGUUAAAGAGUCUAGCUCAACUAGAUAAAAGCAGUGGAAACUACAUAGCUAGAGUACGUUCGGGGCAGAGGGAAUUCCUGGUGUAGCGGUGAAAUGCGUAGAGAUCGGGAAGAACAUCGGUGGCGAAAGCGCUCUACUGGGCCAUAAUUGACACUCAGGGACGAAAGCUAGGGGAGCGAAUGGG